Molecule: ribosomal RNA, 254 nt
Filed under: uncultured bacterium
Lineage: Bacteria
Description: partial 16S ribosomal RNA
Rfam family: Bacterial small subunit ribosomal RNA
Source: RNAcentral
UACGUAGGGUGCGAGCGUUGUCCGGAAUUAUUGGGCGUAAAGAGCUCGUAGGCGGUGUGUCACGUCGUUCGUGAAAACCUGCAGCUUAACUGUGGGCGUGCGGUCGAUACGGGCAUCACUGGAGUUCGGCAGGGGAGACUGGAAUUCCUGGUGUAGCGGUGAAAUGCGCAGAUAUCUGGAGGAACACCGGUGGCGAAGGCGGCAUCCUGGACCGGCAUUGACGCUGAGGCGCGAAAACCAGGGGAGCAAACGGG